Molecule: ribosomal RNA, 518 nt
Filed under: uncultured bacterium
Lineage: Bacteria
Description: bacterial SSU rRNA
Rfam family: Bacterial small subunit ribosomal RNA
Source: RNAcentral
GAGAACUUAGCAGAGAUGCUUUGGUGCCUUCGGGAACUCUGAGACAGGUGCUGCAUGGCUGUCGUCAGCUCGUGUUGUGAAAUGUUGGGUUAAGUCCCGCAACGAGCGCAACCCUUAUCCUUUGUUGCCAGCGGUUCGGCCGGGAACUCAAAGGAGACUGCCGGUGAUAAACCGGAGGAAGGUGGGGAUGACGUCAAGUCAUCAUGGCCCUUACGGCCAGGGCUACACACGUGCUACAAUGGCGCAUACAAAGAGAAGCGACCUCACGAGAGCAAGCGGACCUCAUAAAGUGCGUCGUAGUCCGGAUUGGAGUCUGCAACUCGACUCCAUGAAGUCGGAAUCGCUAGUAAUCGUAGAUCAGAAUGCUACGGUGAAUACGUUCCCGGGCCUUGUACACACCGCCCGUCACACCAUGGGAGUGGGUUGCAAAAGAAGUAGGUAGCUUAACCUUCGGGAGGGCGCUUACCACUUUGUGAUUCAUGACUGGGGUGAAGUCGUAACAAGGUAGGCGUAGCGAG